This 782-nucleotide long non-coding RNA is filed under the name Brachypodium distachyon (stiff brome). Its description in RNAcentral is "long non-coding RNA (BDIS_LNC003630)". Lineage: Eukaryota; Viridiplantae; Streptophyta; Magnoliopsida; Poales; Poaceae. The record is from RNAcentral.
UCGCCCGGAUCUAGCCAUUUGGACUAAAAUGAGCAAAGCUGUCAAGUUUAGUGAGUCAUUUGAGGAGUUUUCAAAUUAAUGGAUGAAACUGAACAUCGCUACCAAGUUCAUGUACCCACAGUGCAAUUUCCUCACUACCGAAGGGAAACCAUCCCUCUGAACUCGAAUCAAUCCCCAACAACUGAGUGACAUGGAUUGUGAUCCACCUUUUUAGAUUUUUUUUUUAUCCUUCUUUCUUGCCUUGCAAAAACUGAUUCAAUCCGUAUAAGCUGUGCCCGAUGGAUUGCCUCGAUUGAUCCAUCAAAGUUAUUACAAUUUCCAAUAAACAAAGCUUUUAUUAGUGGUUUGAAUGUUUGUAGCCGUACAGUCGAUCUUCAUCUUAGUUGAUCUCUACGUAAUCCACUGUAUGUUCUCAAUUUAUCAAUCUCCAGCCUCUCUCUCAUCUCUAUACCUUCCUCCUGAACUGAUCCCGGGAUACCUUUCUGGAUUAUCUCUCUCCGUCAAAGCCUCUCUCUUCUUGAAAAAAAAACCCUCUCUUUCGAUCAUGCGUGUCGAUUAAAUAACGGUACUUAUGCAUUGUCUUUUGUUCAACGCCAGCUGCGGAUCGACAACAACUAAGGCUGCAAGCAAAUUAAUUCGAUCUUGUCCAAAUUUGAAGGACCUGUUAGGGUGAUCUCCACAGUAUGGGCCCAACGGCCCACCGGCCCCUAUAUCUAACGCGUCCAGAUCGGGGGCGCCCAACUCACUAUGGUUGGCGGGCUCCUGUCGUGCUGCGCAAUGUA